RNAcentral lists this ribosomal RNA (320 nucleotides) under uncultured Prevotella sp. RNAcentral describes it as "bacterial SSU rRNA". It matches the Rfam family "Bacterial small subunit ribosomal RNA", at positions 355 to 672 of the family's 1533-position model. The record is from RNAcentral. Lineage: Bacteria; Pseudomonadati; Bacteroidota; Bacteroidia; Bacteroidales; Prevotellaceae.
UGAGGAAUAUUGGACAAUGGAGGCAACUCUGAUCCAGCCAUGCCGCGUGAAGGACUAAGGCCCUAUGGGCUGUAAACUUCUUUAGACGCAGAGCAAUAAGGGCCACGUGUGGUCCGAUGAGAGUAUGCGUAGAAUAAGCACCGGCUAAUUCCGUGCCAGCAGCCGCGGUAAUACGGAAGGUCCGGGCGUUAUCCGGAUUUAUUGGGUUUAAAGGGAGCGCAGGCCGCCGGGCAAGCGUGUUGUGAAAUGCAGUCGCUCAACGUCUGCACUGCAGCGCGAACUGCCCAGCUUGAGUGCGCGCAACGUUGGCGGAAUUCGCC